Molecule: ribosomal RNA, 331 nt
Filed under: uncultured bacterium
Lineage: Bacteria
Description: bacterial SSU rRNA
Rfam family: Bacterial small subunit ribosomal RNA
Source: RNAcentral
UGUGUAGGCGGCCAUGCAAGUCGGAUGUGAAAGCCCCGGGCUCAACCCGGGAAGUGCACCCGAAACUGCACGGCUUGAGUAUCGGAGAGGUUGGUGGAAUCUCGGUGUAGAGGUGAAAUUCGUAGAUAUCGAGAGGAACACCGGUGGCGAAGGCGGCCAACUGGACGAAUACUGACGCUGAGACACGAAAGCGUGGGGAGCAAACAGGAUUAGAUACCCUGGUAGUCCACGCCGUAAACGAUGGGUGCUAGGUGUCACGGGCAUUGACUCCCGUGGUGCCGUAGCCAACGCAUUAAGCACCCCGCCUGGGAAGUACGGCCGCAAGGCUAAA